RNAcentral lists this ribosomal RNA (253 nucleotides) under uncultured bacterium. RNAcentral's name for it is "partial 16S ribosomal RNA". It matches the Rfam family "Bacterial small subunit ribosomal RNA", at positions 524 to 776 of the family's 1533-position model. The record is from RNAcentral.
UACGGGGGGGGCAAGCGUUGUUCGGAAUUACUGGGCGUAAAGGGCGCGUAGGCGGCUCGUCAAGUCGGGCGUGAAAUCUCCAGGCUUAACCUGGAAAAGGCGUUCGAUACUGUUGAGCUAGAGUGUGGAAGAGGCUACUGGAAUUCCGUGUGUAGCGGUGAAAUGCGUAGAUAUACGGAGGAACACCAGCGGCGAAGGCGGGUAGCUGGGCCGACACUGACGCUGAUGCGCGAAAGCCAGGGGAGCAAACGGG